Molecule: long non-coding RNA, 437 nt
Organism: Patella vulgata (common limpet)
Lineage: Eukaryota; Metazoa; Mollusca; Gastropoda; Patellidae
Exons: 3
Source: RefSeq, a predicted model, not a curated record
CUACAGCAAGGAUUGGAUGCCCUGAUCCACCAUGCCAAUAUGGUGUCACGGCUAAUAUACCAGAAAACGCUGAUGUCUGCUCCCCAACAGUUCGUUUAGAUACGAAUUGUGGGGUGAACAUUGAUCCUAACAUAUGGACACAGGUUUACAAGAUCAACGUUACUGGUACACUCACUGAAGAUGAAUAUGGGCAACAGACCAAUGUUAUGAAAAUCACACUUCGUUCUCCAGAUAGUUACCCUGGACACCCUAUAUGGGAAAAUUAUACUUUAGCUCCCGUUAAGGUGUAUGUAGUAAAAGAUACUGGAGCUAUAGAAUCACGAAGUUGUAAAGUACAUUCCGAUCCAUAUGUUAAAACUUUUGCGGAAAGACAGAUGAGUCUCCAGAUUCUUGGAACAUUUACCAUGUAUCAGAAUAAUGACUAUAAUAUAGAGGUA